UCCCCGGUAGCUCAAUUGGCAGAGCGUGUGCCUGUUAAGCACAGGGUUGCAGGUUCGAGUCCUGCCCGGGGAGCCA
RNAcentral lists this transfer RNA (76 nucleotides) under Pseudomonadota bacterium. RNAcentral's name for it is "tRNA-Asn". It matches the Rfam family "tRNA". From Rfam's summary of the family: Transfer RNA (tRNA) molecules are approximately 80 nucleotides in length. Lineage: Bacteria; Pseudomonadati; Pseudomonadota. RNAcentral also lists the same sequence under 2 other names. The record is from RNAcentral.